GAUGAAGAACGUAGUGAAAUGCGAUACUUGGUGUGAAUUGCAGAAUCCCGUGAACCAUCGAGUCUUUGAACGCAAGUUGCGCCCGAAGCCAUCAGGUUGAGGGCACGUCUGCCUGGGCGUCACAUAUCGUUGCCCAAUGCCUAUUGCAGUGCAAUAGGAAUUUCUAGGGCGAAUGAUGGCUUCCCGUGAGCGUUGUUGCCUCGCGGUUGGUUGAAAAUCGAGUCCUUGGUAGGGUGUGCCAUGGUAGAUGGUGGUCGAGUUAGAACGAUACCGAUCAUGUGCAUGCUCCCCAAAAUAUGGCCUCUAUGACCCACACGCGUCUUUUGACGCUCAUGACGAGACCUCAGGUCAGGCGGGGCUACCCGCUGAAUUUAAGCAUAUCAAUAAGGGAGGA
RNAcentral lists this unclassified non-coding RNA (394 nucleotides) under soil metagenome. Its description in RNAcentral is "partial contains 5.8S ribosomal RNA, internal transcribed spacer 2, and large subunit ribosomal RNA". The stretch from base 1 to 122 matches the Rfam family "5.8S ribosomal RNA", at positions 35 to 154 of the family's 154-position model. The record is from RNAcentral.